AUGGACCAUUCCAUCCCUUAUUCCCGUGGCUAUGCAUCGGAUUCGUAUGACGAAGGUCCCGAUGAACAAGUUGAUGAGGAGGGGUUCACGGUGAAGGAGGCCGAAGGUUUCGAGAAGGUAUUCAGUCGGGAUCAUCGGACUACAUUGUUCAAGGAUAUUAGUCUCGCGGAUGAAGCCGUGGUAGAUGGUGGCCAAGGUAUAUCUCUUGGGGUUAGUCCAAGCUCUCAC
This 228-nucleotide ribosomal RNA is filed under the name Triticum aestivum (bread wheat). Its description in RNAcentral is "partial small subunit ribosomal RNA". Lineage: Eukaryota; Viridiplantae; Streptophyta; Magnoliopsida; Poales; Poaceae. The record is from RNAcentral.